GAGGGGCCUAUUGAUAGCUCUGGUACCAAGUUCCAACUGCAGUGAGAGACCCAAGGAUGUCAAGGAAAACAUCAGUUCAGUUACGGAAGACAGAGAUGAAGAGGUUUGACACAGGGGACACUCUCUGAAAGUGAAUGUUUAGGAUCUGGGUCAAAUUCCCCUUCAUGCAACCAGAGUCAAAUCCCAGCAGAGCCAGGCUGGAAUCUGCCUGUCCGACAAAGGAGAAGAGAGAUACUGUGCUGAAGAAGCUGAAGAAUAUGUGCCAGCACGUUUGGAAAAGAUUACAUUGGAAUGAAACUUGAAGAUGCUGGAUGAAGGAAGGUUUGGAGUCUCCACCCUAAAAGCCUCUGGACUCAUUCUGGAAAUGGAUCUACCACAUCCCCCAUGACUGACUUCUCGCACCAGCUGUCUCACACGAUGUACCAGGCUUGAUGGAGUUCAAAAAGAUUCUGUAAUAGCGAAUCAUGGGACAGUGGGCAUCUUCUUGCUCUCAAGAGAAGUAACCAAGACGGCCGUCCACGUGUGUGACCCUUCACAGGAUAAUAAAAGAGCAGCAGUGGAUACACAUGAUUAACAUUACAGUCGGUGACCCAGU
This is a non-coding RNA of Delphinapterus leucas (beluga whale), 595 nucleotides long. Lineage: Eukaryota; Metazoa; Chordata; Mammalia; Artiodactyla; Monodontidae. The record is from RefSeq and is a predicted model, not a curated record.